UGAGGAAGAACCGUGUACUACCCAGACGCA
RNAcentral lists this non-coding RNA (30 nucleotides) under Homo sapiens (human). Lineage: Eukaryota; Metazoa; Chordata; Mammalia; Primates; Hominidae. The record is from RNAcentral.